This 447-nucleotide long non-coding RNA is filed under the name Mytilus galloprovincialis (Mediterranean mussel). Lineage: Eukaryota; Metazoa; Mollusca; Bivalvia; Mytilida; Mytilidae. The record is from RNAcentral.
AUUUUAUACAAUAUACAAUGUAUAUUCACCUUUACUACCAACUGAUAGAUUAAAACAAUCUUUACCAUUCAGUAAUAACAAGCACUUUUUUUACAUUUUAAUAUUUUAUGAUGUAUUUAAAUGAGUAGUUAUUGUUGCAAACUUCAUUAGAAAUUUGAAUUGAGAUCAGUUUUGAAAUAAGGGAAAGGGGGAUGUGAAAAAAAAUUGGGGGGGGGGGGGGUCAAUUUUUUCAUUUCAGAUUUCAUAAAUAAAAAGAAAAACUUCUUCAAACAUUUUUUUGAGAGGAUUAAUAUUCAACAGCAUAGUGAAUUGCUCAAAGGCAAAAAAAAUUUUUAAGUUCAUUAGACCACAUUCAUUCUGUGUCAGAAACCUAUGCUGUGUCAACUAUUUAAUCACAAUCCAAAUUUAGAGCUGAAUCCAGCUUGAAUGUUGUGUCCAUACUUGCCC